Molecule: ribosomal RNA, 483 nt
Filed under: uncultured bacterium
Lineage: Bacteria
Description: partial 16S ribosomal RNA
Rfam family: Bacterial small subunit ribosomal RNA
Source: RNAcentral
AUUGAACGCUGGCGGCAUGCUUUACACAUGCAAGUCGAACGGCAGCGCGGGCUUCGGCCUGGCGGCGAGUGGCGAACGGGUGAGUAAUACAUCGGAACGUGCCCAGUAGUGGGGGAUAGCUCGGCGAAAGCCGGAUUAAUACCGCAUACGACCUGAGGGUGAAAGCGGGGGAUCUUCGGACCUCGCGCUAUUGGAGCGGCCGAUGGCAGAUUAGCUAGUUGGUGGGGUAAAGGCCUACCAAGGCGACGAUCUGUAGCUGGUCUGAGAGGACGACCAGCCACACUGGAACUGAGACACGGCCCAGACUCCUACGGGAGGCAGCAGUGGGAAAUUUUGGACAAUGGGCGAAAGCCUGAUCCAGCAAUGCGGCGUGUGUGAUGAAGGCCUUCGGGUUGUAAAGCACUUUUGGCGGGAACGAAAAGGACUGUGCCAAUACCACGGUUCGAUGACGGUACCCGCAGAAUAAGCACCGGCUAACUACGU